This 732-nucleotide long non-coding RNA is filed under the name Macaca mulatta (Rhesus monkey). RNAcentral's name for it is "lncRNA (ENSMMUG00000062012.1)". Lineage: Eukaryota; Metazoa; Chordata; Mammalia; Primates; Cercopithecidae. The record is from RNAcentral.
ACAGCUGUGCUUCCACCUGGCCUUCAGUGCCUCGUGCCCGAGAGCGGAAAAGGGAAAUCGCGAGCGGAGCACCGGUGUGCUGGCCACGUGGGCCCCGCCGGGCCGACUCGACCGUGCUGUCGCCCGCCGCUCCAGUGCUAAGGGACCUGGAAGAGAUCCCGAUGGGUCCUGUCCUGCGGAGGUGGUUUCCCCUGUGAAGCCAGAGAUUCACCCAGGAGCGUGAGGGGAGCCGGGUCCUGAACCCCCAAGCCGCCCACUACCCUCUACUUUACCGGAUGGAAUUCAUCAGUAACUAGCCAGGUCUGAGGUACAGUCAGUGAAUACCUGUUUAAUGAAUGCAUGCAUAAAUGAAUGAAUGGAUGAUCCAGCUCUUCCUGGAGCAGGCGCGACUUCCACAGAAACAAAAAGAGGGCAAACGCGAGCCGUAAGCAGAAUGUCCUGCACUGCCAGAAUUGCCCAGCUUCCUGGCACACCUACCAACCAGUCAUUCCCAACACUGCCCAGUAUGCAGCCUCCCGGCAGAGGGCCUGGAUGUCUUGGCAGAGGGUGUGACGUUCCACCGUCUGUCUUCUUUUGCCAUGGAUGGACAGACAGCAGAGGAGAAGCGUGUCCUGCCUCUGCAGGUGGUCCUGGUGUCAUGGGGUUAAAAGAUUGCAUUUUCAACAUUCUCACAAUGGCUGUGCAGGACCCCCUGUUGUUUCUGUGACUUGGUGCAGAGAUAAGAAACGUCUU